Molecule: long non-coding RNA, 174 nt
Organism: Nematolebias whitei (Rio pearlfish)
Lineage: Eukaryota; Metazoa; Chordata; Actinopteri; Cyprinodontiformes; Rivulidae
Exons: 3
Source: RefSeq, a predicted model, not a curated record
GGACUCUUGCAGAGGAUGACAGCCUGGAGCAGGAUUUACAGCAGGUCAUGGUGUCUGGACCCAACCUGAAUGAAACCAGCAUUGUGUCUGGAGGUUAUGGAGGACCUGCAGGGGGCAUCAUUCCUACAAGCACCAUCAAAGGGUCUAUGAAUCAUAACACCAGUUCAACUGAAG